This is a long non-coding RNA of Bombina bombina (fire-bellied toad), 435 nucleotides long. RefSeq lists it as uncharacterized. NCBI's taxonomy places the organism in Eukaryota, Metazoa, Chordata, Amphibia, Anura, Bombinatoridae. The transcript has 4 exons. The record is from RefSeq and is a predicted model, not a curated record.
ACAGAGCCCCAGCUACACUAACAAGAAGCUUAGUGCAGUGGCUUCUAGGACCUGCUCUAAAGGAAAAAGUUUCUCCAGCACACUUAGGUGCUGAUGUUCCCUGAUCGCCCUGAUAAUGCCUGGGAGGAAGAAUGGAACGUCUGGAACGAUGCAUAACUGCACUGAUCCGAUGGAGAAGAGGAAGUUGCUUGGAAGGAAUCAGCUUUUUACUGGAGCCCUACUACCACCCGGGGACCCAUCCCUGAACCUCCUAGGGGGGACAGAUACUCGUCUGGCACGAUUCAUGCUGACAUCAACUCAGAACUUCUUGCAGAAAACCGGAGGAAAGAGGCAGAACUUUCCAGAACAUCAGUUCUUAAAUCCCUAGGAAAUACUUUUGCUAUGGUUUCCUAGCAAAACACAGACCAAUAUAUCAAGUUAAAAAAAAUAAAUGAG